RNAcentral lists this unclassified non-coding RNA (378 nucleotides) under uncultured Geoglossum. RNAcentral describes it as "sequence contains ITS2". The stretch from base 1 to 154 matches the Rfam family "5.8S ribosomal RNA". Lineage: Eukaryota; Fungi; Ascomycota; Geoglossomycetes; Geoglossales; Geoglossaceae. The record is from RNAcentral.
AACUUGUAGCAAUGGAUCACUUGGUUCCCGCAUCGAUUAAGAACGCAGCGAAAUGCGAUAAGUAAUGUGAAUUGCAGAAUUCAGUGAAUCAUCGAAUCUUUGAACGCACAUUGCGCCCCUUGGUAUUCCGAGGGGCAUGCCUGUUCGAGCGUCAUGAUCAAAUCUCAAGCCUAGCUUGGAAUUGGGCUUUCGUCUCCCGCCAUUGCGGCUAGUUGAGACGUGCCUAAAAAGAAAUGGCGAUGCCUCAAUGGACUCUAGCGUAGCAGACUGACUUGCGCUUGGAGGGCUGCUGUAGGUUUUGCUAAUAAAACAAUCAAGUUGGACCUCGGAUCAGGUAGGGAUACCCGCUGAACUUAAGCAUAUCAAUAAGCGGAGGCU